CUGCGCUCCAAUGAACAGUGGGAAAAGAUGAUCAAGGAUGGAGCUCCCCAAGAGGGCUUGGCCAUGGGAGAGAGGUUAGGAAGAAGAAGAGAAAGAGGUAAGUCAAGAGGAUGAUCAAAAUCUCGAAAGAACAGUAGCAAGAAAGAGGUUCGGUGCUACAAGUGCAAUGAGAUCGAGCACUUCAAGGGAGAUUGCCCGC
Molecule: long non-coding RNA, 199 nt
Filed under: Elaeis guineensis (African oil palm)
Lineage: Eukaryota; Viridiplantae; Streptophyta; Magnoliopsida; Arecales; Arecaceae
Description: long non-coding RNA (EGUI_LNC064526)
Source: RNAcentral